This is a long non-coding RNA of Anopheles funestus (African malaria mosquito), 1531 nucleotides long. RefSeq lists it as uncharacterized. The record is from RefSeq and is a predicted model, not a curated record. The transcript has 5 exons. Lineage: Eukaryota; Metazoa; Arthropoda; Insecta; Diptera; Culicidae.
UUUAUCUCAAGGCAUAUUUUUCUUUUACUUAAUAUGUUAAACAUUAUCUACACUUUUUUAACUAAGGAAUGAAUAUUACACCAUGUAAUAUUAUCACUUUGUUAGUUUGAAAAGAUGUCAGCUAUAUUUGACAUAAUGAAUUCGAAAGCUGUCAUUUAAUUUCUUUGUCGUUCGUCCUUUUUGCUAUAAACUUCAUCCAAUGUCUUGCACCAACACAGCCACACAGCUUUUCAAUUCCAAUCCAUCCCAUCAAUCCGUCCACCCUUCUGCAAUCGGGUGCUAUCGCGUCAAGAUUAGAACGGAAAAUAUGCACAUAAUUAAAUGUGCCCGUGUUGGCUUCCCAGCAGAAACCCUACGACGCAGAAGACGCAAGUAAAAUGGAAGCAAAGCAUCGAGAGAAGGUAAGAAUCUUAUCACUCCUUGCGGCCUCUAAGACAUAAACGAAACAUGGACGAAAUCUUCGAACUAGAGCCCAUUCUGGAAAUUAAGACAUCUCAUACACCAUACAUAAGGAAAAUCCACGUUUAACGCGCUUAUUGUGGGUGUAACUGUUGAAAGCUAGCGAUGAGACCAAACAGAGAUAUGCACAAACGGGUUGUCUCACAAUGGAACGAUAAAACUACGCAACCCGACCCAACCUAGGCAACACCCACAUCACCGUGCGCCGAGCUACAACACGAGCUUCCGGUAGUUUCCACAUUUUUACGAUUGGCGCUAGCAUCGGCGACAGCACAAACUGUUAACACUGUCAUCAAUGUCAAGGGAAUUUUCUACAAGGGACGCGUUGGUUGGUUUUUGGCGAAAUAUUUCUACUGGGUUUUUCGAGAAAUACAACGUUUGCAGCAUGCAUUUCCAAAAUCAUGCCAGUGACAACACCGGCGGCGUAGGCGAGAGCAAGUGAAAAGAUCGAUCUGAACCAGGAUAAAACGAUGCAGCAUCUGACCCACAGUCAUGGCAAAAAUAAUCAACCCAAUUUGGCACGUCGUGCCGCGAAACAAGCGAAGGAAGCACCGUGAGCUAUACAACCGGAAAAACCACGCUUCGAGCCGAAAAAGUUCGUCAAGAUCGAUCGCCCCGGGUAUCAGGUGACGAAGCAUCACGAUCCGGAGAAUGGCCAACAGUCCUUGUCUUCCAAAUCGACUAUCCGGAAAUUAUGGACGGUAUUGUACCGCGGCAUCGGCUUAUGUUCGUUUACGAACCACCAUCACAAAGAUCGACCACCAGUCAAACACAGUAAUUUCAUAUUUUAAUUGAUUUAUAAGAAGAAAAAGUAGCCAUUGAUGUCAUCUAUCGACCACAGUUUAAAGAUUGGCGAUCCGUUGGAUACCGACCGAGUUAUAGGCAAAACUUGGUGCACAAAUGAGCCCUAGUAAAUUUUUAUUUUUUUGAAUAUUUUGAUUUUUUGAUUAUUUUUUAUUCUUUUUUUAAUUUCAAACAUUAUUUGAAUGAAAAGAAACUAAUUGUAACCAUUUCGCAUUAAAAUAAAACAAAUUUUUAAAUUUUGCUAAUUUGCUCAAAAAAAUGGCAAGGG